UACGUAGGUGGCGAGCGUUGUCCGGAUUUACUGGGCGUAAAGAGCGCGCAGGCGGUCGGCCAAGUCGAGUGUGAAAGCCCCCGGCUCAACUGGGGAGGGUCAUUCGAUACUGGUCGACUCGAAGGCAGGAGAGGGAAGCGGAAUUCCCGGUGUAGUGGUGAAAUGCGUAGAUAUCGGGAGGAACACCAGUGGCGAAGGCGGCUUCCUGGCCUGUUCUUGACGCUGAGGCGCGAAAGCUAGGGGAGCAAACGGG
This 253-nucleotide ribosomal RNA is filed under the name uncultured bacterium. Its description in RNAcentral is "partial 16S ribosomal RNA". It matches the Rfam family "Bacterial small subunit ribosomal RNA", at positions 524 to 776 of the family's 1533-position model. The record is from RNAcentral.